GCUGAUAUAGUUUAACGGCUAAAACAUAUCAUUCAUGACGAUAAGACAAAGGUUCGAUUCCUUUUUUCGGCU
Molecule: transfer RNA, 72 nt
Filed under: Phellinidium ferrugineofuscum
Lineage: Eukaryota; Fungi; Basidiomycota; Agaricomycetes; Hymenochaetales; Hymenochaetaceae
Description: tRNA-Met
Rfam family: tRNA
About the family: Transfer RNA (tRNA) molecules are approximately 80 nucleotides in length. Their secondary structure includes four short double-helical elements and three loops (D, anti-codon, and T loops).
Source: RNAcentral